GUCCUCUUCAAGGGCCAUUCGAUAAAAUUCAAACAAUAUAGAGACGAUUAGUAUGACCCCCUACAUUAGAAUGUACAAAUAAAUUCAGCUCAACUAUUAUAACUUAU
This is a small nuclear RNA of Malus domestica (apple), 107 nucleotides long. The record is from RefSeq and is a predicted model, not a curated record. NCBI's taxonomy places the organism in Eukaryota, Viridiplantae, Streptophyta, Magnoliopsida, Rosales, Rosaceae.